AUGGGCUCUUUAGAUUUCUUUUCUUCCUUUUAUGACUGCAAAGCAGUAGAAGUAGGAGCAGGAUCAACCUCCAUCUGGGUAGGGGCACCAGAUGAGGUGACCGGGGUGGUAUUCUCUCGGGAAGCAAUUUGCUCCCCCUCAACUUUGUCAUCCUCCUUGUUGAAUCCGGAGGGCUCUACUUGCAUUUCCUUCGGAGGCAAUGAAACUGCCUUUUUAGCCUCAAUCUCUUCAUCAGUUUUCUCUUCAUGGGCUUGCUGCCCGGGCUGGACAUUUCUUUCAUCAGGGUUGUUCAGAAAGAUAUAA
RNAcentral lists this ribosomal RNA (303 nucleotides) under Triticum aestivum (bread wheat). RNAcentral's name for it is "partial small subunit ribosomal RNA". The record is from RNAcentral. Lineage: Eukaryota; Viridiplantae; Streptophyta; Magnoliopsida; Poales; Poaceae.